This 480-nucleotide ribosomal RNA is filed under the name uncultured bacterium. RNAcentral's name for it is "bacterial SSU rRNA". It matches the Rfam family "Bacterial small subunit ribosomal RNA", at positions 30 to 519 of the family's 1533-position model. The record is from RNAcentral.
AUUGAACGUUGGCGGCGUGGAUUAGGCAUGCAAGUCGAGCGGUAAGGCCCAGCAAUGGGUACACGAGCGGCGUAAGGGACAGUAAUGUGUAGGUACGUACCUCCGGGCCUGGGAUAGCUGCGGGAAACUGCAAUUAAUACCAGAUAAUGUCUCCGGACCAAAGGUGUGAUUCCGCCGGGAGAGGGGCCUACAUCCUAUUAGCUAGUUGGCGGGGUAACGGCCCACCAAGGCUUAGAUGGGUAGCAGGUGUGAGAGCACGACCUGCGUCCAUGGGACUGAGACACUGCCCAGACACCUACGGGUGGCUGCAGUCGAGAAUCUUCGGCAAUGAGCGCAAGCUUGACCGAGCGACGCCGCGUGCGGGAUGAAGGCCUUCGGGUUGUAAACCGCUGUCAGAGGGGACGAAGUGCUAGCGGGUACUCUCGCUAGUUUGACAGAUCCUCAAAGGAAGGGUGGGCUAAGUUCGUGCCAGCCGCCGCG